Long non-coding RNA from Diorhabda carinulata, 427 nucleotides. RefSeq lists it as uncharacterized. The transcript has 2 exons. The record is from RefSeq and is a predicted model, not a curated record. Lineage: Eukaryota; Metazoa; Arthropoda; Insecta; Coleoptera; Chrysomelidae.
AGUUUACAAAUAAAAGUAUAUUAAACGUGAAGAACAAGGGUAAAGGAGUAGCUUCCUCUUCUACUCCGACGUAAACCAUUGAACGUAGUUUUUGAAUCUUGACGUUUCCUAUAUCCUAUCAAUUUGUUUAAAAGAUGAAGAUAUGAAUUUAAGAUUACUAAUCUGUGAAUUAUUUUUUGAAAAGUAAUACUGCGGCAAGGAGUUGAAGGAAAACUUUCAUAUUUUCCAUACAAGAACUAUGCAGAUAACCUAUGGCCGCAGUGAAAUUCAAUACACAGGAAAUAGAUUGGUUCAAUGAUAAAAUACUCAAUGUUCUACAACAUCCAUCAUGUCGUGAUAUAUACCACCAGUACCUCAAGAGAUACAGUCCAGCAAAUUACAAUGCAUUCAAACUAUGGAAGACAGCUAAUGAUACCAAAGAAUAUAA